UACGAGGUCUCAAGCGUUGUUCGGAUUCAUUGGGCGUAAAGGGUGCGUAGGCGGCGCGGUAAGUCGGGUGUGAAAUCUCGGGGCUUAACUCCGAAACUGCAUUCGAUACUGCCGUGCUUGAGGACUGGAGAGGAGACUGGAAUUUACGGUGUAGCGGUGAAAUGCGUAGAUAUCGUAAGGAAGACCAGUGGCGAAGGCGGGUCUCUGGACAGUUCCUGACGCUGAGGCACGAAGGCCAGGGGAGCAAACGGG
Molecule: ribosomal RNA, 252 nt
Filed under: uncultured bacterium
Lineage: Bacteria
Description: partial 16S ribosomal RNA
Rfam family: Bacterial small subunit ribosomal RNA
Source: RNAcentral